GAGAUUUAAAGGGUUAGUGAUGGAAAACUUGCAGGUCAAUGGGCAUCAGUGUUUAAGGUUGGUAAACACGCGUACACGGACGCAUAUAAUACUACCCGCCUGACAUUGGCAUGUGUUAUUCAGGUGUCAAAGUUGUGCAGAGUUGAAGGAAGAAACCUCAAAGACAGUGCCAGAAGGAUGCUGGACAGGGUUUUAAAAAAAUUCCCUCAUGUCCAAAUUCAACAUGAAGGGGGGUGGUCCGCUGCAGAAAGAGGCUUUUGAAAAGCACUGUUCUCGGUCAUUAGAGGUAUGUGUAUAAAACACACAACAUUUACCAGAGAGCUUCUCUCUUCUUUAGCACACUGAAUGGUGAUACACUAUAUAUAUCUCAUUUUUAUUUUUAGUAGACAUCCAAGCA
Long non-coding RNA from Sinocyclocheilus anshuiensis, 397 nucleotides. RefSeq lists it as uncharacterized. NCBI's taxonomy places the organism in Eukaryota, Metazoa, Chordata, Actinopteri, Cypriniformes, Cyprinidae. The record is from RefSeq and is a predicted model, not a curated record. The transcript has 3 exons.